GGAGAAGUGGCCGAGGGGUUGAAGGCGCUUUCCUGCUAAGAAAGAACGGUUUUAAACAGCCGUCGAGGGUUCAAAUCCCUCCUUCUCCG
Molecule: transfer RNA, 89 nt
Filed under: Oxynema aestuarii AP17
Lineage: Bacteria; Bacillati; Cyanobacteriota; Cyanophyceae; Oscillatoriales; Oscillatoriaceae
Also listed under: 1 other name
Rfam family: tRNA
About the family: Transfer RNA (tRNA) molecules are approximately 80 nucleotides in length.
Source: Rfam by way of RNAcentral